CCUACGGGGUGCAGCAGUGGGGAAUAUUGGACAAUGGGCGAAACCCUUAUCCAGCGACGCCGCGUGAGGGAAGAAGGUUUUCGGAUUGUAAACCUCUGUCAGUGGGGACGAUAAUGACGGUACCCAAGGAGGAACGCACGGCUAACUACGUACCAGCAGCCGCGGUAAUACGGAGGUGGCAAGCGUGGUCCGGAAUUAAUGGGGGUAAAGGGAGCGUAGGCGGGAUGUCAAGUCAGAAGUGAAAAUGAUGGGCUCAACUCAUAACCUGCUUUUGAAACUGAUAUUCGUGAGUGAAGUAGAGGAAAGCGGAAUUCCUAGUGUAGCGGUGAAAUGCGUAGAUAUUAGGAGGAACACCAGUGGCGAAGGCGGCUUGCUGGGCUUUUACUGACGCUGAGGCUCGAAAGCGUGGGGAGCAAACAGGAUUAGAUACCCCAGUAGUC
RNAcentral lists this ribosomal RNA (440 nucleotides) under uncultured bacterium. RNAcentral's name for it is "partial 16S ribosomal RNA". It matches the Rfam family "Bacterial small subunit ribosomal RNA", at positions 338 to 795 of the family's 1533-position model. The record is from RNAcentral.